Molecule: unclassified non-coding RNA, 148 nt
Organism: Macaca mulatta (Rhesus monkey)
Lineage: Eukaryota; Metazoa; Chordata; Mammalia; Primates; Cercopithecidae
Rfam family: Metazoan signal recognition particle RNA
About the family: The signal recognition particle (SRP) is a universally conserved ribonucleoprotein. It is involved in the co-translational targeting of proteins to membranes.
Source: Ensembl
GCUGGGCACGUUGGCAUGUGCCUGUAGUCCCAGCUGCUUGGGAAGCUGAGGCAGGAGGAUUGCUUGAGCCCAGGAGGUGGAGGCUGCAGUGAGCCAUGUUUGUACUACCACACUCCAGCCUGGGUGACAAAGUGAGACCCUGUCUCAA